ACGAACGCUGGCGGCGUGCUUAACACAUGCAAGUCGAGCGGAAAGGCCACUUCGGUGGUACUCGAGCGGCGAACGGGUGAGUAACACGUGAGUAAUCUGCCCCUCACUUUGGGAUAGCCACCGGAAACGGUGAUUAAUACCGGAUAUGACCAUAUGUCGCAUGGCGUGUGGUGGAAAGUUUUUCGGUGAGGGAUGUGCUCGCGGCCUAUCAGCUUGAUGGUGAGGUAAUGGCUCACCAUGGCUUCGACGGGUAGCCGGCCUGAGAGGGUGACCGGUCACACUGGGACUGAGACACGGCCCAGACUCCUACGGGAGGCAGCAGUGGGGAAUAUUGGACAAUGGGCGGAAGCCUGAUCCAGCAACGCCGCGUGAGGGAUGACGGCCUUCGGGUUGUAAACCUCUUUCAGUACCGACGAAGCGUGAGUGACGGUAGGUACAGAAGAAGCACCGGCCAACUACGU
This 461-nucleotide ribosomal RNA is filed under the name uncultured bacterium. RNAcentral's name for it is "bacterial SSU rRNA". It matches the Rfam family "Bacterial small subunit ribosomal RNA", at positions 29 to 506 of the family's 1533-position model. The record is from RNAcentral.